This 200-nucleotide ribosomal RNA is filed under the name uncultured bacterium. Its description in RNAcentral is "partial 16S ribosomal RNA". It matches the Rfam family "Bacterial small subunit ribosomal RNA", at positions 355 to 546 of the family's 1533-position model. The record is from RNAcentral.
UAGGGAAUCUUCCACAAUGGACGCAAGUCUGAUGGAGCAACGCCGCGUGAGUGAAGAAGGUUUUCGGACCGUAAAGCUCUGUUGUUGGUGAAGAAGGAUAGAGGUAGUAACUGGCCUUUAUUUGACGGUAAUCAACCAGAAAGUCACGGCUAACUACGUGCCAGCAGCCGCGGUAAUACGUAGGUGGCAAAGCGUUGUCC